UUGAAAAGAACUCUGAAGAGAGAGUUCAAUAGUACGUGAAACCAUAAUGAGUAAAACGGAUAACUGUACUAUUUUAGUGAUUUGCUUCUCAGCAGCUAGUCGUGAUAUUCGAUGGUGCGAGAAUUAGCUGUUUUUCAGCAAAAUUCACGUAGUUAGAAUGUUUCAAUAAGCUGCGAUUUGGUGCAUUUCCUAUCAUUAAAAAGCUUUAUGGUCCUUGCAGAGGCGUAUUGCAGUUCGCACUAUGUGCGAAGUAAUGUGCUGUGCUUUGUGAUUGUUGAGUUUGGCUGAGAUUACUUUAGUCCGAGAUGCUUAAAGCUUUGGCGGCAUGUAUGUCUAGCAGAUUUGUUUAUUCUAGUCUGUGGCGACCAUGCUGUUACGGCUUGCGUCUCAUGUUUAAUGAUCAAGUACUAGUUAUUUGACCCGUCUUGAAACACGGACCAAGGAGUUCAAAUGGCACGCGAGUCUUUGGGUGUAAACAUCCAACGGCGAAGUGAAAUGCGAGUGUAUUGUUAUUUGUGAUAUUCACGAAGAAAUGAUAAGCUACUGAUGCUAUCAGGCAUUUGUAGACUACAAGCGUGUCGUUUGAGACCCGAAAGAUGGUGAUCUAUGCCUAGUCAAGAUGAAGCCAGAGGAAACUCUGGUGGAUGUCUGAAGUUUUUCUGAC
RNAcentral lists this ribosomal RNA (664 nucleotides) under Poecilochirus subterraneus. RNAcentral describes it as "partial large subunit ribosomal RNA". It matches the Rfam family "Eukaryotic large subunit ribosomal RNA", at positions 364 to 890 of the family's 3401-position model. The record is from RNAcentral. Lineage: Eukaryota; Metazoa; Arthropoda; Arachnida; Mesostigmata; Parasitidae.